UGAAGAAUUCUUCUUGAAAAAUUUGCCAUAAAAUUCACAUGUGGAAAUAUGAUCAAGGAAGUCUCUUUUUUAGAUUAAACUUGUUGCCCACAUGCUUUGAAUUUGUUUUGAAUUUCAGUAAGAAUCUACAUGUGAAUUAGAUUGGAAAAAAGAGAAGAAGUGAGAUUCUAAGUCAGAUUCAAAAGUAUAUUUUCCCCCUAAGUGCACCAACUUGUUGCUGUGUGCACGUGGCGCGUGCUAGAGACCUCCUCGUGCGUGCGAUUUGUGCACGUGUGUGGUAAUAGUUGUAUGCAUAAGUGCACCCUGUACGUGUUAUGUUGUGUGCAAGAGCUAUUUUNNN
This 340-nucleotide long non-coding RNA is filed under the name Carica papaya (papaya). RNAcentral describes it as "long non-coding RNA (CPAP_LNC006036)". Lineage: Eukaryota; Viridiplantae; Streptophyta; Magnoliopsida; Brassicales; Caricaceae. The record is from RNAcentral.